CGAAAGGGAAUGAGGUUAAUAUUCCUCAAGUAGGGUGUGGGAUGAAAUGUGGCAACACAAAUGAGCUUGGAGACAUCGGUAUGUACCCCUGGAAGAGUUCUCUUUUCUUCUUAACAGUUUAUCUCCCUGAAUGAAUUAUUCAGAGAUAGGGAUGUAUAACUGGCAGAGCAGCUCACUUUCGGGCUGUCAGGUGUGUUCAUAACGAUCCUUGAAAAUCCAAGGGAGAUGUUCAUAUCCCCCUAGGCGUACCCAUAACCGCAUCAGGUCUCCAAGGUUAGCAGCCUCUGGUCAAUAAAAUAAUGUAAAUAAGGGAAUUCGGCAAAUUAGAUCCGUAACUUCGGGAAAAGGAUUGGCUCUGAGGGUUGGGCGGCUGAGGCCUCUUCAUGAAAGCAGAAGUAAAAUUGAAGCUGACUUCACCGUUGGCUUCUUUUUGUUGAAGUUAGAUUGUUGGGGUGUUUUCAUCGACUUUCUCGUCGCAUAAAACAACUGACUCAGAACUGAAGCGGACAAGGGGC
Molecule: ribosomal RNA, 515 nt
Filed under: uncultured eukaryote
Lineage: Eukaryota
Description: eukaryotic LSU rRNA
Rfam family: Eukaryotic large subunit ribosomal RNA
Source: RNAcentral